This 515-nucleotide ribosomal RNA is filed under the name uncultured bacterium. Its description in RNAcentral is "partial 16S ribosomal RNA". It matches the Rfam family "Bacterial small subunit ribosomal RNA", at positions 28 to 523 of the family's 1533-position model. The record is from RNAcentral.
GAUGAACGCUGGCGGCGUGCCUAAUACAUGCAAGUCGAGCGAAUGGAUUGAGAGCUUGCUCUUAUGAAGUUAGCGGCGGACGGGUGAGUAACACGUGGGUAACCUGCCCAUAAGACUGGGAUAACUCCGGGAAACCGGGGCUAAUACCGGAUAACAUUUUGAACCGCAUGGUUCGAAAUUGAAAGGCGGCUUCGGCUGUCACUUAUGGAUGGACCCGCGUCGCAUUAGCUAGUUGGUGAGGUAACGGCUCACCAAGGCAACGAUGCGGAGCCGACCUGAGAGGGUGAUCGGCCACACUGGGACCGAGACACGGCCCAGACUCCUACGGGAGGCAGCAGUAGGGAAUCUUCCGCAAUGGACGAAAGUCUGACGGAGCAACGCCGCGUGAGUGAUGAAGGCUUUCGGGUCGUAAAACUCUGUUGUUAGGGAAGAACAAGUGCUAGUUGAAUAAGCUGGCACCUUGACGGUACCUAACCAGAAAGCCACGGCUAACUACGUGCCAGCAGCCGCCGUAA